This is a small nuclear RNA of Hyla sarda, 194 nucleotides long. RefSeq annotates it as U2 spliceosomal RNA. The record is from RefSeq and is a predicted model, not a curated record. The transcript has a single exon. Lineage: Eukaryota; Metazoa; Chordata; Amphibia; Anura; Hylidae.
GUCUCUUCUCGGCCUUUUGGCUAAGAUCAUGUGUAGUAUCUGCUCUUAUCAGUUUAAUAUCUGAUAUGUCCCCUAUCUGGGGACCAUAUAUUAAACGGAUUUUUGAGAACAGGGGCCGAUUUCUAAGCUUGCUUCCAUUGCCCUAUUAUGCAUUGGCCCAAUAUCGCAAUAUCUUCAGGUACAGUGCACUACCC